This 253-nucleotide ribosomal RNA is filed under the name uncultured bacterium. RNAcentral describes it as "partial 16S ribosomal RNA". It matches the Rfam family "Bacterial small subunit ribosomal RNA", at positions 524 to 776 of the family's 1533-position model. The record is from RNAcentral.
UACGUAGGGUGCAAGCGUUGUCCGGAAUUAUUGGGCGUAAAGGGCGCGUAGGCGGCUUCAUAAGUCAAAGGUGAAAUCCCUCGGCUCAACUGAGGAACUGCCUUUGAAACUGUGGAGCUUGAGGCCGGGAGGGGGUAGCGGAAUUCCCAGUGUAGCGGUGAAAUGCGUAGAUAUUGGGAGGAACACCAGUGGCGAAGGCGGCUACCUGGACCGGAACUGACGCUGAUGCGCGAAAGCGUGGGUAGCAAACAGG